GUUUUAGUAUAAGUAGGUUUCAUGCAAUAUUUGGAACAUACUUUUACUAAAA
Non-coding RNA from Myotis lucifugus (little brown bat), 52 nucleotides. The record is from Rfam. Lineage: Eukaryota; Metazoa; Chordata; Mammalia; Chiroptera; Vespertilionidae.